GAUGAAGAACGGCAGCGAAAUGCGAUAAGUAAUGUGAAUUGCAGAAUUCAGUGAAUCAUCGAAUCUUUGAACGCACAUUGCGCCCGCCAGUAUUCUGGCGGGCAUGCCUGUCCGAGCGUCAUUUCAACCCUCGAACCCCUCCGGGGGGUCGGCGUUGGGGACCUCGGGAGCCCCUAAGACGGGAUCCCGGCCCCGAAAUACAGUGGCGGUCUCGCCGCAGCCUCUCCUGCGCAGUAGUUUGCACAACUCGCACCGGGAGCGCGGCGCGUCCACGUCCGUAAAACACCCAACUUCUGAAAUGUUGACCUCGGAUCAGGUAGGAAUACCCGCUGAACUUAAGCAUAUCAAUAAGCGGAGGA
This 359-nucleotide unclassified non-coding RNA is filed under the name soil metagenome. RNAcentral's name for it is "partial contains 5.8S ribosomal RNA, internal transcribed spacer 2, and large subunit ribosomal RNA". The stretch from base 1 to 121 matches the Rfam family "5.8S ribosomal RNA", at positions 35 to 154 of the family's 154-position model. The record is from RNAcentral.